GACGAACGCUGGCGGCGUGCUUAACACAUGCGAGUCGAACGGAAAGGCCCUGCUUUUGUGGGGUGCUCGAGUGGCGAACGGGUGAGUAACACGUGAGUAACCUGCCCUGUACUUUGGGAUAACUUCAGGAAACUGGGGCUAAUACCGGAUAGGAGCUCCUGCUGCAUGGUGGGGGUUGGAAAGUUUCGGCGGUUGGGGAUGGACUCGCGGCUUAUCAGCUUGUUGGUGGGGUAGUGGCUUACCAAGGCGUUGACGGGUAGCCGGCCUGGGAGGGUGACCGGCCACAUUGGGACUGAGAUACGGCCCAGACUCCUACGGGAGGCAGCAGUGGGGAAUAUUGCACAAUGGGCGGAAGCCUGAUGCAGCAACGCCGCGUGCGGGAUGACGGCCUUCGGGUUGUAAACCGCUUUCGCCUGUGACGAAGCGUGAGUGACGGUAAUGGGUAAAGAAGCACCGGCUAACUACGUG
This 468-nucleotide ribosomal RNA is filed under the name uncultured bacterium. Its description in RNAcentral is "partial 16S ribosomal RNA". It matches the Rfam family "Bacterial small subunit ribosomal RNA", at positions 28 to 507 of the family's 1533-position model. The record is from RNAcentral.